GCAGGGCGUGGUGGCAUGCAUCUGUGGUCUCAGCUACUUACGGUGGAGGCUGAGGCAGGAGGGUCACAUGAGCCUAGAAGUCCUGGGCUGUGUGCUAUGCUGAUUGGGUGUCUGUACUAAGUUCAAUAUCUAUAUAGUGACCUCCUGGAAGCAGGGAACCAUCAAGUUGCCUAAGGAGGGGUGAACCAGCCCAGGCCAGAAAUGAAACAGGUCAAAACUCCUGUGAUUAUCAGUAGUGGGAUUGCACCUGUGAAUAGCCACCACACUGUAGUCUCGGCAACAUAGCAAGACCCCCAUCUCU
RNAcentral lists this signal recognition particle RNA (301 nucleotides) under Carlito syrichta (Philippine tarsier). RNAcentral describes it as "Metazoan signal recognition particle RNA (ENSTSYG00000030774.1)". It matches the Rfam family "Metazoan signal recognition particle RNA". Rfam says of the family: The signal recognition particle (SRP) is a universally conserved ribonucleoprotein. It is involved in the co-translational targeting of proteins to membranes. Lineage: Eukaryota; Metazoa; Chordata; Mammalia; Primates; Tarsiidae. The record is from Rfam by way of RNAcentral.